GGUUUGAUUCUGCUCAGAUUGAACGCUGGCGGAUGCUUUACACAUGCAAGUCGAACGGCAGCACGGACUUCGGUCUGGUGGCGAGUGGCGAACGGGUGAGUAAUGUAUCGGAACGUGCCUAGUAGUGGAUAACUUACGCAGCAGCUGGACUACUGCAGCAUUAUUCUUCGGGGAAAGGACCUUCUGGCCGCAUCAUUAGAGCGGCCGAUAUCGGAUUAGCUAGUUGGUGGGUAACGGCUCACCAAGGCGACGAUCCGUAGCUGGUUUGAGAGGACGACCAGCCACACUGGGACUGAGACACGGCCCAGACUCAGCGUGGAGGCAGCGGCGGAAUUCUUCGACAAUGGGGAAACCCUGAUCCAGCCAUCCCGCGUGUGCGAUGAAGGCCUCGGGCUGUAAAGCACUUUUGGCAGGAGAACCGCACCAGGAGCAGCACCGCGCGCAAACUGACGGUACCCAUUGGCACCGGCUAAAUCUACGCUGCAGCAGCCGCGGUAAUACGUAGGGUGCAAGCGUUAAUCGGAAUUACUGGGCGUAAGCGUGUAAGCAGGCGGUUCGGAAAGGAAGAUGUGUGAAUCCGAGCCAUCUCUUGAACUGCAUUUUUAACCACUCGAGCUAGAGGUGUCAGAGUGUGAGUGGAAUUCCGCGUGUAGCAGUGGGAAUGGUGUAGAUAUGCGGAGGAACACCGAUGGCGUGGCUGCAGCCUCCUGGGAUAACACUGACGCUCAUGCACGAAAGUGUAUGUCAGGGAUUAGACAUCGCAGUCCUACGCCUUAAAUCGAGGCCAACUAGCUGUUGGGCUUUGGCCUUGUAGCAGUUAACGGUGUGAAGUUGACCAGCCUGGGGAGUACGGCCGCAAGAUUAAAACCCGAAGCACUGAUGGGACCCGCACAAGCAGUGGAUGGAUGUAUCAAUUCGAUGCAACGCGAAAACCCUUUGACCUACCUUGACAUGUCUGGAAUCCCGAAGAGAUUUGGGAGUGCUCGCAAGAGAACCGGAACACAGGUGCUGCAUGGCUGUCGCUCGCUCGUGUCGAGAUGUUGGGUUAAGUCCCGCAACGAGCGCAACUCCUUGUCAUUAGUUGCUACGAAAGGGCACUCUAAUGAGACUGCCGGUGACAAACCGGAGGAAGGUGGGGAUGAUCGUCCCUGCGGCCCUUGCGGUAGCUCACUGCCCAAGGCCGGCCGGGACAGAGGGUCACAACCCGAGGGGAGCUAAUCCCAGAAACCCGAUCGUAGUCCGGAUCGCAGUCUGCAACUCGACUGCGGAAGCUGGAAUCGGGCGAAUCGCGGGAUCAGCAGCGGUUUGCAGGAAUACGUUCCUGGUCUUGUACACCGCCCGCCUAUGGAUGGGUUUUACCAGAAGUAUAGCCUAACCGUGGCGAGGAGAUUAC
RNAcentral lists this ribosomal RNA (1393 nucleotides) under uncultured Bordetella sp. RNAcentral describes it as "partial 16S-23S ribosomal RNA intergenic spacer". It matches the Rfam family "Bacterial small subunit ribosomal RNA". The record is from RNAcentral. Lineage: Bacteria; Pseudomonadati; Pseudomonadota; Betaproteobacteria; Burkholderiales; Alcaligenaceae.